Molecule: ribosomal RNA, 534 nt
Filed under: Triticum aestivum (bread wheat)
Lineage: Eukaryota; Viridiplantae; Streptophyta; Magnoliopsida; Poales; Poaceae
Description: partial small subunit ribosomal RNA
Source: RNAcentral
AUGGAUCAGGAGCUGAUCGAGCACCUUGAGGCCAAAGUGAGUGCUGACAGCGCGAGAUCUCACCCUCUCAUCGAUUUUUUUCAUACCAACCAUCGACGGCGAGCACGGUAUCACACUGAGUGGCCUAAGCAAGCAUUUCUUCCAGCGCAAUUCCGGGGCGUUAAAAAGGGGCACGUGGACGUGUCACAAGAUACAGUCGGAGUGCGGCAUGCACGCGAUGUGACACAACACCGACAAUACCUUGCCGGUGAUGCUCACGGCCCGCAGACGGGUAGCAAAAAGGUUCUGGUGCUGCACACCAACAAGAACUUCGACCAGCAGAGGACCAACUGGGUGAUGCACCAGUACCACCUCGGGGACCCGGAGCAAGAGAAGGAGCGGGAGCUGGUCCUCUGCAAGAUUUUCUACCAGACGAACACUAGGGCGAGGAGUAAAAAGAUUAUAAGUCGAGCAAGUUUCAACUGGGCUGUAGACUGCCCAGGCUUGGUUUUGUUUUUAAAAGGCCCAGCCCGUGACGACAACGAGGCACAAUGA